RNAcentral lists this ribosomal RNA (255 nucleotides) under uncultured bacterium. Its description in RNAcentral is "partial 16S ribosomal RNA". It matches the Rfam family "Bacterial small subunit ribosomal RNA", at positions 124 to 381 of the family's 1533-position model. The record is from RNAcentral.
ACGUAGCCUGGAAUGGGGGAUAACGUAGCGAAAGUUACGCUAAUACCGCAUACGAUCUACGGAUGAAAGGGGGGGAUCGCAAGACCUCAUGCUUGUGGAGCGGCCGGUAUCUAAUUAGGUAGUUGGUGGGGUAAAAGCCUACCAAGGCGUCCAUCAGUAGCUGGUCUGAGAAGACGACCAGCCACACUGUAAGUGAGACACGGUCCACCGUCCUACGGGAGGCAGCAGUGGGGAAUUUUGGACAAUGGGCGAAAG